This 430-nucleotide ribosomal RNA is filed under the name uncultured bacterium. RNAcentral describes it as "partial 16S ribosomal RNA". It matches the Rfam family "Bacterial small subunit ribosomal RNA", at positions 29 to 507 of the family's 1533-position model. The record is from RNAcentral.
AACGAACGCUGGCGGCAGGCUUAACACAUGCAAGUCGAACGCCCCGCCAGGGGAGUGGCAGACGGGUGAGUAACGCGUGGGAACAUACCCUUUUCUACGGAAUAGCUCUGGGAAACUGGAAUUAAUACCGUAUACGCCCUACGGGGGAAAGAUUUAUCGGGGAAGGAUUGGCCCGCGUUGGAUUAGCUAGUUGGUGGGGUAAAGGCCUACCAAGGCGACGAUCCAUAGCUGGUCUGAGAGGAUGAUCAGCCACAUUGGGACUGAGACACGGCCCAAACUCCUACGGGAGGCAGCAGUGGGGAAUAUUGGACAUGGGCGCAAGCCUGAUCCAGCCAUGCCGCGUGAGUGAUGAAGGCCUUAGGGUUGUAAAGCUCUUUCACCGAUGAAGAUAAUGACGGUAGUCGGAGAAGAAGCCCCGGCUAACUUCGUG